GGGCCCGCACAAGCGGUGGAGUAUGUGGUUUAAUUCGAUGAUACGCGAGGAACCUUACCAGGGCUUAAAUGUAGUAUGACCGGUCUAGAAAUAGGCCUUCCCUUCGGGGCAGAUUACAAGGUGCUGCAUGGUUGUCGUCAGCUCGUGCCGUGAGUGUUAGGUUAAGUCCUGCAACGAGCGCAACCCCUAUUCUUAGUUGCCAGCGGUUCGGCCGGGGACUCUAAGAAGACUGCCAGCGCAAGCUGAGAGGAAGGUGGGGAUGACGUCAAAUCAUCACGGCCCUUACGUCCUGGGCUACACACGUGCUACAAUGGUACAGACAGAGGGCAGCCACCUGGCGACAGGGAG
Molecule: ribosomal RNA, 348 nt
Filed under: uncultured bacterium
Lineage: Bacteria
Description: bacterial SSU rRNA
Rfam family: Bacterial small subunit ribosomal RNA
Source: RNAcentral